This 425-nucleotide ribosomal RNA is filed under the name uncultured bacterium. RNAcentral describes it as "partial 16S ribosomal RNA". It matches the Rfam family "Bacterial small subunit ribosomal RNA", at positions 354 to 796 of the family's 1533-position model. The record is from RNAcentral.
GUGGGGAAUAUUGGACAAUGGGCGAAAGCCUGAUCCAGCCAUGCCGCGUGAGUGAUGAAGGCCUUAGGGUUGUAAAGCUCUUUCAGUAGGGAAGAUAAUGACGGUACCUACAGAAGAAGCCCCGGCUAACUUCGUGCCAGCAGCCGCGGUAAUACGAAGGGGGCUAGCGUUGUUCGGAUUUACUGGGCGUAAAGCGCACGUAGGCGGAUUGGUCAGUUAGAGGUGAAAUCCUGGAGCUCAACUCCAGAACUGCCUUUAAUACUGCCAGUCUAGAGUCCAGAAGAGGUGAGUGGAACUCCUAGUGUAGAGGUGGAAUUCGUAGAUAUUAGGAAGAACACCAGUGGCGAAGGCGGCUCACUGGUCUGGUACUGACGCUGAGGUGCGAAAGCGUGGGGAGCAAACAGGAGUAGAUACCCUGGUAGUCC